This is a long non-coding RNA of Dama dama (fallow deer), 423 nucleotides long. RefSeq lists it as uncharacterized. The record is from RefSeq and is a predicted model, not a curated record. The transcript is spliced from 4 exons. NCBI's taxonomy places the organism in Eukaryota, Metazoa, Chordata, Mammalia, Artiodactyla, Cervidae.
AUUGCAAAUUAUUCAGUUGCCAGAAUUCCUUUCUAGAACAAAGUGGAACAGAAAUGCAUAAACAGGCCUCUGGGUCACCUCAGACAAAGACUGGUGUUCAGGGCAGCAUCAAGUCACCGACUUCCCUCAAAGGAGAAGCAGCAAGCUGGCGUGGGACUACAGACCCUGGGGAUGAAAGGAAAACUUCAGCACCCAUCAGAUAAGUUUCUCAAAGAAGAAGUCAAUGAAGAGGUAUAAGAUGAAUGCUCUGGACUAAUUGGAUAAAAUAAAAUAUGUGCAACAGCAUGCUUCUCCAGUGUCUUAAAAGACUAUGACUUCGAGAAGAACUCCAUCCCAGGACUGUGGCUGUUGAAAGUUCCACCAUUACACUUACGUACUAAGCACGAAGAAAAUAAUUUCUACAAGGAGAUUUGUGAUUUUAGU